UGCCUGCAUGUAUGUGUGAUUGUUUGUGUUUAUCAAUGUGCGCGUGCGUGCCUUUGUGUCUGCGCUUUGAGAGUGCGUAUAUUUGUGUGCGCGCGAGUGCGUUUUGUGUGCGUGCGUAUGUAUUGCAUAAGGCCGGUAGAGUUUUACUCGCAAUAAAACUCUUCCAAUUUGGUGCAGCGAGUGUUGCCGCCUGAAAGCCGAGUUUGGUUUCAAGCCAACCUGGACAACUGCUGUAUGAGGCGCUGUUUCUCAGGAGGAUCAGUGGGAAGGCGUCAGGUCAUGCAGAUGAUAGCAUCAAUUUCACAAUGCGCAGCCUUGGUGCCCUCCAUUAAGAGCAAGCCACUUGCGUUCGCCUUCAGGCAGAUGGUUGAUGUCUUCUAGGAAGCAGUUGGGAAGACUACAUUGAUGCAAGAUUCCAGCAAUGCCAUGCGCUGGCAUUUAUUGGUCAAGAUGCUCAGAGAAUGGAGUCCCUGCACC
This 477-nucleotide long non-coding RNA is filed under the name Dermacentor andersoni. RNAcentral describes it as "uncharacterized LOC126516862". The record is from RNAcentral. Lineage: Eukaryota; Metazoa; Arthropoda; Arachnida; Ixodida; Ixodidae.